AGCACGCGCCUCCUGACACUUCCAUCACUGGCGAAUUCCCGGUAGAAUCCAUCACAACACCCUCAUCAGUCAACACCGGGACUUCAAAUUCCUCACAUUCCCGACCACCGGACUCCGUAGACUGAAGGCCAUCGGAUUUUAGAGAAUCCUCCGACGGCGGCAAGUCCGGCGAAUCAGGGGCUAGGAAAUCUCUAGAAAUGUCCAUUUUACGAGGGAAAGGAGAAGCCAAAGCAUGGGUUUCAACCUCCAUAUAUGAAGAAGACGAGGCUAUAGUCUAGAGUCUUGACUGGCUAUGCAAAGAAAGCGACGGUACAGAGAAGAAAAUGACGGGAACCCAAGAUUUCGAAACGAAAAACAGAAAAGAGAUUGAAAAUUAGGAAAAAAAAUAUAUAAACAAGAGAGUGGAGAGCUGUGUUCUGGGUCGGGUUUUGGGAGUUCGAGUUCGACGCAUAUAUA
This 456-nucleotide unclassified non-coding RNA is filed under the name Hevea brasiliensis (rubber tree). The record is from RNAcentral. Lineage: Eukaryota; Viridiplantae; Streptophyta; Magnoliopsida; Malpighiales; Euphorbiaceae.